This 205-nucleotide ribosomal RNA is filed under the name Enterobacter cloacae complex sp. 2023EL-00495. Its description in RNAcentral is "partial 23S ribosomal RNA". It matches the Rfam family "Bacterial large subunit ribosomal RNA", at positions 1 to 207 of the family's 2925-position model. The record is from RNAcentral. Lineage: Bacteria; Pseudomonadati; Pseudomonadota; Gammaproteobacteria; Enterobacterales; Enterobacteriaceae.
GGUUAAGCGACUAAGCGUACACGGUGGAUGCCCUGGCAGUCAGAGGCGAUGAAGGACGUGCUAAUCUGCGAAAAGCGCCGGCGAGGUGAUAUGAACCCUUGACCCGGCGAUGUCCGAAUGGGGAAACCCAGUGUGUUCCGACACACUAUCGUUAACUGAAUACAUAGGUUAACGAGGCGAACCGGGGGAACUGAAACAUCUAAGU